GACGAACGCUGGCGGCGUGCUUAACACGUGCAAGUCGAACGAUGAAGCUGGAGCUUGCUCUGGCGGAUUAGUGGCGAACGGGUGAGUAACACGUGAGAAAUCUGCCCUUGACUCUGGGAUAACUGCGGGAAACUGUAGCUAAUACCGGAUACUUUCCCUGGUGGGCAUCCACUGGGGAAGAAAGAAUUUCGGUCAAGGAUGAUCUCGCGGCCUAUCAGCUUGUUGGUGAGGUAAUGGCUCACCAAGGCGACGACGGGUAGCCGGCCUGAGAGGGUGACCGGCCACACUGGGACUGAGACACGGCCCAGACGCCUACGGGAGGCAGCAGUGGGGAAUAUUGCACAAUGGGCGCAAGCCUGAUGCAGCAACGCCGCGUGAGGGAUGAAGGCCUUCGGGUUGUAAACCUCUUUUAGCAGGGAAGAAGCGAAAGUGACGGUACCUGCAGAAAAAGCACCGGCUAACUACGUGCCAGCCGCCGCGGUAA
RNAcentral lists this ribosomal RNA (484 nucleotides) under uncultured bacterium. Its description in RNAcentral is "partial 16S ribosomal RNA". It matches the Rfam family "Bacterial small subunit ribosomal RNA", at positions 28 to 523 of the family's 1533-position model. The record is from RNAcentral.